CCAGAAAGAUGCAGAAGACGCUCCCGGGGGGUUUUUGCGGGAAGGUUACGUGGGAAAUGCCACGGACCCGCGUGGGGGGCUUUCCUCGGACUGCCCGUAACCGUGCGGAAACCGCCGCUUCGAUGUGAUCCCCACGUCCACGGAGGACUUCCAGACGGCCGUUGGCAGCGGGAGCCACGCACAGCCCCCUUCCGGGAGAAAUUAAUUAGGUGGCGCCGCGUUCCCGCGGCGGCGGCCGGAAAUGAGCCGGGGCGCGGCCCCAGGGCCGACGGGGAUCCCCCGGGGCCCGACCGGCUGCGCCCGGAGUCGGAGAGGAGGACGGCGGGCGCCGGCCGCGGCGUGGGGGCAAAGACGAGCGAAGAAUGCGUCCUGAUUCUGUGCUGUCGCCGAGGAGCGGGGAAGCAGCCGACCUUGGCGACGGAGGUCACCGGCCUGCCUUCUCUUCCUCGGCCUUCACCGCCACGUGGGAGGAAGAGGCACUUAAGGAGGAGCAACCCGGCUCCUGCCUCACGCUGGGACCAGCUUUCUGCUCUGGAAGAAAAAAAAAAAAAAUCCCCGGGCCUUCUCUUUUUAUUUACUUAUUUCGGUUUUUAAUUCCGGGAGCCUAAUAUCUGGGAUUGGACUGUCCGCAGCCUACGUGUCUCUGUGACCUUACAGAUAACAGGCAGGCUUGGAUAGAAAAUGAAAUUCAAGCGCCAGCUAAUUUUAAAAACAUAACUAAAAACUCAUUCCCAAGGGGAGGGGGAGCGAUGGCAGUUUAAGUCCAAGCUGAACAUGUCUUUAAAUAACUAUUCCUGGUAUUUGCUAAAUGAUGGCUGUAUGGGGGUAGGGAUAGAAUUUAGUCAUUAAAAACAGCAUGUGCUCAAGGUGAGAAUAGAUGUUUUGUGACCCAGAGUCACCUAUAUGCUUUGCUGCGAGCCAGCACCUUCCAGAAAACAGACUGGCUGUGUCAGCCAUACUGGUGUUUGGUUGGUUGGUUGAACUACCAUUGGUGAAUGCCUGUGUUACUGCUGAUUCUCGGGCUGGCUGUUGUCCUCCUACACUGGGUCUGGAGUAGCCAAGGGCAGGGCAGGCUGAAGACUGGUGCUGGUAUCACCUUCGUGUGAUGGCACGUGGUUGGGUAAUGCAGGUGUCCCUUGUGGCCUCUGACCUGGGCCCAGAGAGCUCAGAACUUGCUGCUCAUUCUCGGGUGUGUUACUGCUGAUUCUAACAGCUGCCCUGGUCAAGGUGGUUGUGGCCGCCUGCAUGUUUGAGAGAGGUUUAGAGAGAUUCAGUGAUUUGUCCAAGGUCACAGCGCUCAGUGAGUACCACAGUGGACACAGAACUGGGAUGUCUCUGCCUUCUUUCUCCUACCCUCUGUGUGGUCAGUGACUCCAGAUACCUACAAUCAUAUGGAGGAGGGGAUUUCAUUCCAAAUAAAGACUAGCCAUGUCCUCGGUGAUAGGAGAGG
This 1450-nucleotide long non-coding RNA is filed under the name Oryctolagus cuniculus (rabbit). RNAcentral describes it as "lncRNA (ENSOCUG00000037928.1)". Lineage: Eukaryota; Metazoa; Chordata; Mammalia; Lagomorpha; Leporidae. The record is from RNAcentral.